Drosophila mauritiana is the source of this 864-nucleotide long non-coding RNA. RefSeq lists it as uncharacterized. The record is from RefSeq and is a predicted model, not a curated record. Lineage: Eukaryota; Metazoa; Arthropoda; Insecta; Diptera; Drosophilidae. The transcript has 3 exons.
CGGCGGGCAGUAAGCUGAAAUCGGCUGAAAGGACGAGCUGGCAGGACGUUUCGCAGGAGGGCGAACCAGCACAGUGCCGAGCAGGAAAAGGCGAGAAACGGCCUGUGCUAAUUUUCCUGGCUAGUUGAUUUUUGGCGCGCUCCAGAUUUAAUCCUGCAGUCUAAGUGAAUGUGAAAUGUAACAAGCCAAGUGACAGUUACCAAAAGUCAGAAGACAACAGGAAGGACAGGAGAAAAGGGAAGGCAGAAAGCCAACGAACAGAUGGAAACAACUCGCAGAUGCUGAUGUUCCUGCCCCAGGAGACAUUUAACAUAAUAAAAACGAACGUGUGCGGCAUUUUGUGUUGCCUUUUGGCCAAGUUAACUCCUGUUCCUGCAUCUCUCUCUGUGUGUGUGUGUGUGUGUGUUCGUUACAUGCUAAUAUCACAUCGCCCCCGCACAACGCACACAAACUUACAAACAAACAAUAUUGCAAAUGUGUGCGUGAGGCAGUUGGCCAAAGUGUCGUAAAUCGUUUAGACAGCGCGACGUGGCCCAGAAAAAGGAGAUGAGGGCCAAAAACGAUAUGUAAACGACACAGCAGUCGCCGUGGGAAAAACUGGGAAGCGCCAACAGAAAAAGCCAAGGAAACGAAGGAUGCGACGAUGAACUGCAUUUGUUGCUCAUAUGCGAUGUGAGCUAUUUGAUAUGCGAUGAAAAAGUUUUGACAAAUUAACUUUUUGCAAUGAAGACUGAUUUAUCCAUUUGUUGCCUCCUCUUUCUGUUACAAAAAAUCCUACCAAAAAUGAAGAUGACGAUGGCCUAUCAAUACUGCGAUGCGUAUGAACAUCGCCAUAAAUAAGGCAAUUUUGUAAAAGAAAAAAAA